Molecule: ribosomal RNA, 406 nt
Filed under: uncultured bacterium
Lineage: Bacteria
Description: partial 16S ribosomal RNA
Rfam family: Bacterial small subunit ribosomal RNA
Source: RNAcentral
AUUGAACGCUGGCGGCAGGCCUAACACAUGCAAGUCGAGCGAGCGGCGGACGGGUGAGUAAUGUCUGGGAAACUGCCUGAUGGAGGGGGAUAACUACUGGAAACGGUAGCUAAUACCGCAUACCAUCAGAUGUGCCCAGAGGGGAUUAGCUAGUAGGUGGGGUAACGGCUCAUCUAGGCGACGAUCCCUAGCUGGUCUGAGAGGAUGACCAGCCACACGGUAACUGAGACACGGGCCAGCCUCGGACGGGUGUAAGCCGUGGGGAAUAUUGCACAAUGGGCGCACGCCGUAUGCAGCCAUGCCGCGUGUAUGAAGAAGGCCUUAGGGUGGUAAAGUACUUUCAGCGGGGAGGCGUUACCCGCAGAAGAAGCACCGGCUAACUCCGUGCCAGCAGCCGCGGUAAUAC